Molecule: transfer RNA, 77 nt
Filed under: Streptomyces avidinii
Lineage: Bacteria; Bacillati; Actinomycetota; Actinomycetes; Kitasatosporales; Streptomycetaceae
Description: tRNA-Arg(gcg)
Source: RNAcentral
CCGGUGCUGCGGCGGCGGGGGCGCCUGUCGCUGCGGGCGGCGGCGCAGGGGGUCCUCGUUCGGGUCGAGGUACUGGA